RNAcentral lists this ribosomal RNA (285 nucleotides) under uncultured Alteromonas sp. RNAcentral's name for it is "partial 16S ribosomal RNA". It matches the Rfam family "Bacterial small subunit ribosomal RNA", at positions 1093 to 1382 of the family's 1533-position model. Lineage: Bacteria; Pseudomonadati; Pseudomonadota; Gammaproteobacteria; Alteromonadales; Alteromonadaceae. The record is from RNAcentral.
CGAGCGCACCCUUGUCCUUAGUUGCAGCCUUAAGUUGGGCACUCUAAGGAGACUGCCCGGGAGAACCCGAGGAAGGGGGGGACGACAUCCAGUCUUCUUGGGCCUUUCACGUUGGGCUACACACGUGCUAUAAUGGGAUUUACAGAGGGAAGCGAGACAGUGAUGUGGAGCGGACCCCUUAAAGAAUGUCAUAGUCCGGAUUGGAGUCUGCAACUCGACUCCAUGAAGUCGGAAUCGCUAGUAAUCGCAAGUCAGAAUACUGCUGUGAAUACUUUCCCGGGGCUU